Molecule: ribosomal RNA, 492 nt
Filed under: uncultured bacterium
Lineage: Bacteria
Description: partial 16S ribosomal RNA
Rfam family: Bacterial small subunit ribosomal RNA
Source: RNAcentral
AGUGAACGCUGGCGGUAGGCCUAACACAUGCAAGUCGAACGGCAGCACAGUAAGAGCUUGCUCUUACGGGUGGCGAGUGGCGGACGGGUGAGGAAUACAUCGGAAUCUACUUUUUCGUGGGGGAUAACGUAGGGAAACUUACGCUAAUACCGCAUACGACCUACGGGUGAAAGCAGGGGAUCUUCGGACCUUGCGCGAUUGAAUGAGCCGAUGUCGGAUUAGCUAGUUGGCGGGGUAAAGGCCCACCAAGGCGACGAUCCGUAGCUGGUCUGAGAGGAUGAUCAGCCACACUGGAACUGAGACACGGUCCAGACUCCUACGGGAGGCAGCAGUGGGGAAUAUUGGACAAUGGGCGCAAGCCUGAUCCAGCCAUACCGCGUGGGUGAAGAAGGCCUUCGGGUUGUAAAGCCCUUUUGUUGGUAAAGAAAAGCAGCAGGUUAAUACCCCGCUGUUCCGACGGUACCCAAAGAAUAAGCACCGGCUAACUUCGUG